UACGUAGGGUGCAAGCGUUAAUCGGAAUUACUGGGCGUAAAGCGUGCGCAGGCGGCUUUGCAAGACAGAUGUGAAAUCCCUGGGCUCAACCUGGGAACUGCAUUUGAUACUGGAAAGCUAGAGUGUGGUAGAGGAUGGUGGAAUUCCCGGUGUAGCGGUGAAAUGCGUAGAUAUCGGGAGGAACAUCAGUGGCGAAGGCGGCCAUCUGGACCAACACUGACACUGAGGCACAAAAGCGUGGGGAGCAAACAGG
RNAcentral lists this ribosomal RNA (253 nucleotides) under uncultured bacterium. RNAcentral's name for it is "partial 16S ribosomal RNA". It matches the Rfam family "Bacterial small subunit ribosomal RNA", at positions 524 to 776 of the family's 1533-position model. The record is from RNAcentral.